This 1561-nucleotide unclassified non-coding RNA is filed under the name Leishmania donovani. RNAcentral describes it as "gene:LdHU3.13.0040(CDS-product:cis-prenyltransfer ase-like_protein)". Lineage: Eukaryota; Euglenozoa; Kinetoplastea; Trypanosomatida; Trypanosomatidae. The record is from RNAcentral.
CAAGUACUGCAGCUCCCCACCCUUCUUAGUCCCUCGCCCCACCGGCCUCUCACGCACCGACACCCACAAUUCAAUAUACACGCACGCACGCGAUGUUAACGGGGACUCUCCCACAACUGCAGCACGGGACCACCCCAGCGCAGCGUGGCGCAUCAUCGGCCUUGAACGACAGCCAUGACAUCCUGGCUCUCCGCACGGCCUGCGGCACGUUUGGGGUGGUUUGCUUCUCCCUGCUCGUCUUCGCCUUUCUGGGGCACAUAGCGCUCGCCUUGCUAAAGCUGUCUUCACGAGGAGGCGUACCACGGACAAGCAAGGCAAUCACGGUGAACAAACUGCACCACAUCGCCCACAGUGUGCGGCACCUAGGCAUCAUCAUGGACGGCAACAGGCGCUACGGCAGGCGCCACAGCACGGCGGCUAGGUGCCCAGACCCAUCAGCGCUGCGAGAGAUACGCGAGGAGUUGUGCAGCGCCACAGAGCUCACCGCGACCCAUAGCGCGACCGAGCAGUCGUGCUGGCUGGCAGCUCGCUACAAGCGCUUUGCAUCGGUCAUUCAGCACAGCUCCCUUGACGGCCACCGCGUCGGUGGGGAGAAGCUGCUGGAGGUCAUCAAACACAGCAUGGAGGCGGGCAUCGAUAUGGUGACGGUGUACGCCUUCUCCACCGACAACUGGAACCGCCCCGCCGCGGAAGUGGAUGCGCUCAUGUCACUCUUUUUUUUCUUCUUUGACCGCAUCCGCAAGGAGGCGCUAGAGCGGCACAUAUUUGUGCGCUUUAUAUCCACCGAACUGUUCCGCCUACCGCCUCGCGCGGUGGAGUUCAUGAGGAGUGUGGAGCGCGAGACGCGAGCAGUGCAGCCCCGUCGGCUGGUGCUGAACAUCUGUGUGAGCUACAGCGGUCAGUCGGAGGUGGUGGCAGCGUGCAACCGCCUUGUCGCCCGCCGCCUCCGAGACAGCACCGACCCCGCCUCCGCCGCUGCCGUUGCAACAGAGGUGACGAAGAAAGAGCUGGACAGAGAGAUGCUGCGCAGCAUCACUCAGGACGAGCACGAGGCGGAGGACGCGCAUCUCUUCGGCGGCGACGUCUCUGUAGAACCAGAGCUUAUUCUCCGCACAAGUGGAGAGCAGCGCAUCAGUAACUUUCUCCUCUAUGAGUGCGCCUACUCCGAGUUUGUGUUUCUGGACAAGGCGUGGCCGGAGGUGACACAGGAGGAUAUUCGACAGGCGCUCUCCGAUUUCACUCGUCGCGAGAAACGUAAGGGGCGUUGAUGGUACCGGUGAACGCGCCAGCAGCAUCGAAACGCUAAAUAUCCAUCGAGAUGCACGCCGCCUACAUUCGCCCAAUAUGGGUAUUACAUGCGACUGUGCCUUGAGAGCUGCAGUUGCAUUCGCGCCAAUACCGUUCGCUCUUUUCAUUUUCUCGCUUUGUGCGUAACCCUCCUCUCUCGUAGGCAGGCCUGCUGGUGGCACCGUUGCUCGAAAGGGGCAACGCCCCUUCCACUCUGGCAGGUUGUUCUCGCUCUCUUACUCUUCGCUUGAUCAUGGAGGACCACCUUAUGUGC